UGAAAAACCUUAAUUACCAAAAAAAAACAAAAAAAAAAAGAAUGAACGUAUUCAUUAGACAGGAUUAUCAGCUUAGUGACAGAAUUCUCUAAGAGGUCACGAUUAUGCAGAAGUUAAGAAUUUUUUUAGAACAAAUGAAUGCGCCAAUAAACAUGUUUUCUGAUAUACCAAAUAAAUCCUAAGAGCAUGGUUUCUAAUGCAAGUAAAUGUAUCUAAGAACAUGUUCUCUAACAUAAGAAAAUGGUCAUAAUAAACCUAAGGACAUGAUUUCUACCCUGUUUCCCCACAAGAAUAAUAUGAGAAAUCCUUUAUUUUUACUAAUUUACCCAAUAUUGUUUACAACAAUUAUUAUUACAGACAAUAAAUUACAAAAGGAACAAACUAUACUAUAGGGAGUCUGAAUUGAGGCCCAAAGUGAACCUAAAAGUUCCAGGCCUUCAAACAAUGCAAAAUGCCAUAAUCUCAUAGCGUCCAAGAGGAAGUAUCCUGGUGAGUCAAAGUUCUCAAGGGCCUCAGGGAUCCUGGGCAAUAAUCAUACCAAGAUCUUUUCAAACAUAGAAGUAGCUUUUUGUGCAGUGUGAAAGUGCCAGCCCAGUGUGCCAGAGUUCGAAGGAAUCUCAUAGAUUCUUUGGCAGUACACAUACUGGAGGGGCAGGAUCCUAAAUAUCCUAAGAGCAGGAGUGAGAGUGCUUGACUGAGUAGGAAUAACAUUAGGAAAACAGACCAGAAGUAAAAAAUAAUUUAAAAGCUAAAACACUUUAGGAGUGGGAACAAUUUAGAGAUGAAAACAUACUAGGCAUAAAAGCACUUUAAAGAUGAAAAUAUAUUAAGAGCGAAGACAGUUUGGGAACAUUCUAAAAAGUUCAGCAAACAGCAAGUAGAAUCCAGUCAUAGCACUUCAUAUUGCCCAGAUCCAAUAUUAGUUAACUCUAGGUGAGAGCAAGUAAUUUUAUAGAAAGGGGGUCAUGGGUUGGGAACAAAGGAAAAUUAAAUCAGAAAUACAUAAAAUAAGGUGAAAGUGAGAGCAUAUUGAGCAACAAGGACGUGGAAUAGACAAGGGUUGAUUGACAUUCAAUACCCAAAUUCUUAGCAUUCAUUAGAACAUAGACUACUGAUUUAAAGUCUUAACAGGAAAUUUAUACUUAAUGAUGGAGUAAUCACACUGGCUUAAGGCAAUAGAUAGGGAAACAUAGAAUAUAUGAGUAGUCAUGCUAAUUCAUAGACGAGAUAGGGAUUAAACUAUACAUCAUUGGUUAUACCAAUUGAAGUUAAUUAAGCAGAAAGAUAAGAGUCUUAGACAUAGUAAACAUGCCUUUUAAAGAAAAAACAGGAAAGAUUGAAACUUAAACAUGCUAAUUAAGGUGAUAAGCAAGAAAGGGCCAAAGUUAGAAUAGCAGUAGAUAUGCUAAUCGAAAUACAGGAGAAACAUGGAUUCAACAGCAAUAACAGAUAAAAGAGCACAUAGGUUCAAGUUUCAUGGUAUAGUAAACGACAUUAGGAAUAGAAAGAUACCAAUUAAAGGAAGCAAAUAGGAAUGAAAGGUAUGUGGGAUUCAAUAUAGUCUAGCCUUGGCUUUCAGCCGGCUAGACAAGCAAUGGAUACAAGUAGCAGAGAUGAGAGUAAAGUGUAUGUGAGUGUAUUUGUGAACUAUUAUUCGUGUGUUUAUAAGGCAGAAUAGGAGUGUAUAUAUAACACUUAGGGAGUAAAACAAAUAAGGUAAAGAGAAUCACAGUUCAAUCGAUUAAUCAAUCAGUCACUUAUAGAAUCAAUUUAUGUAGAGAAAUCCGGAAAAGAUCCCUUUAAUUAGGGAUAAGUAAUGGUCAGAACUGGGUUCAAUUAAGGUAAUAAAUCAAAAUCAUACCAUAUAGGGCGUUAGUAAGAUCCCCAGACUACUGAUAACUAAUUAGGGCAAGAAUAACCAAUUAAGGUCACAAAUAAGGAAACAAGUAAAAUCCCAGUACAUACUAAUUUUAAUAGGACAGUCAUUCGAAUCAAUUAAAAAAUCUCAAAGAAUAUUGAUUCCAACAAGAAAGAUUGCUCAAAAUCCUAAUAGAAAUUAAUCACGCAAAGAUCCUAAAGAAAACUGGUUUUUUAAUAGGGAAAAUUAUUCAAAUCCUAAAUAGAAUCCAUUAUUUCAUUGGUUUGACAGAAAAAUAUACAAAUAAUAGAGAACAAGUGGAAGAAAAUCAGUGCAACAGACAAAAUUAUCCAGAAUUUAUGUAGAUACGCGAGAAUCAGUCAAUAUUGUGAAAAAUAUUUAAUUUAAACACUGAUAGGUUAGAAAAACCUUUGAAGAAAGUCCGGGACAAAUCCUAAAUUCAGAACCAGUGAAUAAAAUUGAAGCAAUUAUCUAGAACAAAAGAUUUUCAAAGGAAAAUACCCAAUAAUACUCGAAUCCUUUCAGAUCUACAAAGAUCUAAACAGAUUCGAAUGGUAGUGAAACAAGGGUUUUAAAAAAUAGUAGAAAUAAAGAAACUCGGUCUAAAACCCGUAGAUUCAAACUAAAGUAGGAAGAGAUCCAUACUCACAAACAAAAAUGGCCCUAGACAGACACGUAAACAAGUUUAAGACAAAAACUCAAGUCGAAUCUCCUUGAGAUUCUUUUAAGGAUCCAUAUAAUCGAACAAGCAAGAGUUAUAGAAGGCUGGUAAGGACCAGAGAACACACAGAAACUCCAUAGAUGGGAGUUUUUUGGUCGGAUAGCGAUUAUGGUUAGAGUGUAAUUGAGAGAGAAACGGAGGGGUUAGGGGACGAAGGCAGCGAAAUCAGAGAGAAUGAGGGGAUUAGGGCCUUGGUUAGGCUUAAUUAUG
This 2810-nucleotide long non-coding RNA is filed under the name Nicotiana benthamiana. RNAcentral describes it as "long non-coding RNA (NBEN_LNC008303)". Lineage: Eukaryota; Viridiplantae; Streptophyta; Magnoliopsida; Solanales; Solanaceae. The record is from RNAcentral.